GCCUUCGUGGUGUAGUGGUUCUGCACGCUGGACUGGUAUUCCAGAGGUCCGUGGUUCGAUUCCCUUCGAAGGCG
This 74-nucleotide transfer RNA is filed under the name Stegodyphus dumicola. RNAcentral's name for it is "tRNA-Thr". It matches the Rfam family "tRNA". From Rfam's summary of the family: Transfer RNA (tRNA) molecules are approximately 80 nucleotides in length. Lineage: Eukaryota; Metazoa; Arthropoda; Arachnida; Araneae; Eresidae. The record is from RNAcentral.